UGGGGAAUUUUGGACAAUGGGCGAAAGCCUGAUCCAGCAAUGCCGCGUGUGUGAAGAAGGCCUUCGGGUUGUAAAGCACUUUUGUCCGGAAAGAAAUGGCUCUGGUUAAUACCUGGGGUCGAUGACGGUACCGGAAGAAUAAGGACCGGCUAACUACGUGCCAGCAGCCGCGGUAAUACGUAGGGUCCAAGCGUUAAUCGGAAUUACUGGGCGUAAAGCGUGCGCAGGCGGUUGUGCAAGACCGAUGUGAAAUCCCCGAGCUUAACUUGGGAAUUGCAUUGGUGACUGCACGGCUAGAGUGUGUCAGAGGGGGGUAGAAUUCCACGUGUAGCAGUGAAAUGCGUAGAGAUGUGGAGGAAUACCGAUGGCGAAGGCAGCCCCCUGGGAUAACACUGACGCUCAUGCACGAAAGCGUGGGGAGCAAACAGGAUUAGAUACCCUGGUAGUCCACGCCCUAAACGAUGUCAACUAGUUGUUGGGGAUUCAUUUCCUUAGUAACGUAGCUAACGCGUGAAGUUGACCGCCUGGGGAGUACGGUCGCAA
Molecule: ribosomal RNA, 543 nt
Filed under: uncultured bacterium
Lineage: Bacteria
Description: partial 16S ribosomal RNA
Rfam family: Bacterial small subunit ribosomal RNA
Source: RNAcentral